UACGGGGGGGGCAAGCGUUGUUCGGAAUUACUGGGCGUAAAGGGCUCGUAGGUGGCCAACUAAGUCAGACGUGAAAUCCCUCGGCUUAACCGGGGAACUGCAUCUGAUACUGGAUGGCUUGAGUUUGGGAGAGGGAUGCGGAAUUCCAGGUGUAGCGGUGAAAUGCGUAGAUAUCUGGAGGAACACCGGUGGCGAAGGCGGCCAUCUGGACCGGAACUGACGCUGAGGCGCGAAAGCCAGGGGAGCAAACGGG
RNAcentral lists this ribosomal RNA (253 nucleotides) under uncultured bacterium. RNAcentral's name for it is "partial 16S ribosomal RNA". It matches the Rfam family "Bacterial small subunit ribosomal RNA", at positions 524 to 776 of the family's 1533-position model. The record is from RNAcentral.